CCAAUAGCGUAUAUUAAAGUUGUUGCAGUUAAAAAGCUCGUAGUUGAAUUUCGGGAUUAGUACGUUGGUCGUGCCUUAGGUACGUACUGGUGUUACUGGUUCCUACCUUCUGACGAACCAUCAUGUCAUUAAUUUGGUGUGGCGGGGAAUUAGGACUGUUACUUUGAAAAAAUUAGAGUGUUUAAAGCAGGCUCGCGCUUGAAUACAUUAGCAAGGAAUAAUGAAAUAGGACGUUGACCCUAUUUUGUUGGUUUCUAGGAUUGACGUAAUGAUUAAUAGGGAUAGUUGGGGGCAUUAGUAUUCAAUUGUCAGAGGUGAAAUUCUUGGAUUUAUUGAAGACUAACUACUGCGAAAGCAUUUGCCAAGGAUGUUUUCAUUAAUCAAGAACGAAAGUUAGGGGAUCGAAGACGAUCAGAUACCGUCGUAGUCUUAACCAUAAACUAUGCCGACUAGGGAUCGGAUGAUGUUAAUUUUUUAAUGACUCAUUCGGCGCCUUACG
Molecule: ribosomal RNA, 499 nt
Filed under: uncultured Glomeromycotina
Lineage: Eukaryota; Fungi; Glomeromycota
Description: partial small subunit ribosomal RNA
Rfam family: Eukaryotic small subunit ribosomal RNA
Source: RNAcentral